GAAAUGCGAUAAGUAAUGUGAAUUGCAGAAUUCAGUGAAUCAUCGAAUCUUUGAACGCACAUUGCGCCCGCCAGUAUUCUGGCGGGCAUGCCAGUCCGAGCGUCAUUUCAACCAUCAAGCCCCCGGGCUUGUGUUGGGGACCUGCGGCUGCCCGCAGGCCCUGAAAACCAGUGGCGGGCUCGCUGUCACACCGAGCGUAGUAGCAAUCACCUCGCUCAGGGCGUGCUGCGGGUUCCGGCCGUUAAACAGCCUUACAAAACCCAAGGUUGACCUCGGAUCAGGUAGGAAGACCCGCUGAACUUAAGC
RNAcentral lists this unclassified non-coding RNA (306 nucleotides) under plant metagenome. Its description in RNAcentral is "partial contains 5.8S ribosomal RNA, internal transcribed spacer 2, and large subunit ribosomal RNA". The stretch from base 1 to 105 matches the Rfam family "5.8S ribosomal RNA", at positions 50 to 154 of the family's 154-position model. The record is from RNAcentral.